Molecule: long non-coding RNA, 521 nt
Organism: Hermetia illucens (black soldier fly)
Lineage: Eukaryota; Metazoa; Arthropoda; Insecta; Diptera; Stratiomyidae
Exons: 3
Source: RefSeq, a predicted model, not a curated record
GCUUCUGAGGGUCGUCGUCGUAGGAACCAUCUGAUAAAAUAAAAGAUGAUGAUGCUGAUCGUAUGCGUAAUGUCAAGUAACCGACAGUGAACUGAUGAACGUCUGUUGUCAAGUUUUGCGGAAGAUGGUGCUGUUGUUUAACUAAGUCGAUUGCUGCCUUUAAAUUCCUGAUGUCUUUCGAGUUUUUGCGGAGGAUUAGUUUGUGAAGUUUUACGAAUUUUUACAGCAAAAGAAGGCGCGGGAGACUCGCCUUCAUCCUUCUCCGUCUGCAGCUUUUCGUUCUGAAUUGGCGUAUAGAACUUUCAAUAAACUAAAACAAUUGAGAUGAAGCAUGGAUGAUAGGAAUAGAUGCAAGGAAGAAUGAAGAUGAUGGAAGGAUCGAAUCGAUAAAGAUCAUAAUCACGACAAUGAUAGAAUUACUCAAUGGCAGAAAUAAUCAUCAUCAUCAGCGGCGCAACAACCGGUAUCCGGUCUAGGCCUGCCUUAAUAAGGAACUCCAGACAUCCCGAUUUUGAGCCGAG